GAUGAACGCUAGCGGGAGGCCUAACACAUGCAAGCCGAGCGGUAUUGUUUUUUCGGAAAUGAGAGAGCGGCGUACGGGUGCGGAACACGUGUGCAACCUGCCUUUAUCUGGGGGAUAGCCUUUCGAAAGGAAGAUUAAUACUCCAUAACAUAUUGAUUGGCAUCAAUUAAUAUUGAAAGCUCCGGCGGAUAGAGAUGGGCACGCGCAAGAUUAGCUAGUUGGUGAGGUAACGGCUCACCAAGGCGAUGAUCUUUAGGGGGCCUGAGAGGGUGAUCCCCCACACUGGUACUGAGACACGGACCAGACUCCUACGGGAGGCAGCAGUGAGGAAUAUUGGUCAAUGGGUGCAAGCCUGAACCAGCCAUCCCGCGUGAAGGACGACUGCCCUAUGGGUUGUAAACUUCUUUUGUAUAGGGAUAAACCUACCCUCGUGAGGGUAGCUGAAGGUACUAUACGAAUAAGCACCGGCUAACUCCGUGCCAGCAGCCGCGGUAAUACGGAGGGUGCAAGCGUUAUCCGGAUUUAUUGGGUUUAAAGGGUCCGUAGGCGGACUUAUAAGUCAGUGGUGAAAGCCUGUCGCUUAACGAUAGAACUGCCAUUGAUACUGUAAGUCUUGAGUAUAUUUGAGGUAGCUGGAAUAAGUAGUGUAGCGGUGAAAUGCAUAGAUAUUGCUUAGAACACCAAUUGCGAAGGCAGGUUACCAAGAUAUAACUGACGCUGAGGGACGAAAGCGUGGGGAGCGAACAGGAUUAGAUACCCUGGUAGUCCACGCCGUAAACGAUGCUAACUCGUUUUUGGGCUUUAGGGUUCAGAGACCAAGCGAAAGUGAUAAGUUAGCCGCCUGGGGAGUACGCUCGCAAGAGUGAAGCUCAAAGGAAUUGACGGGGGCCCGCACAAGCGGUGGAUUAUGUGGUUUAAUUCGAUGAUACGCGAGGAACCUUACCAAGACUUAAAUGGGAAUUGACAGCUUUAGAAAUAGAGCUUUCUUCGGACAAUUUUCAAGGUGCUGCAUGGUUGUCGUCAGCUCGUGCCGUGAGGUGUUAGGUUAAGUCCUGCAACGAGCGCAACCCCUGUCACUAGUUGCCAUCAUUCAGUUGGGGACUCUAGUGAGACUGCCUACGCAAGUAGAGAGGAAGGUGGGGAUGACGUCAAAUCAUCACGGCCCUUACGUCUUGGGCCACACACGUAAUACAAUGGCCGGUACAGAGGGCAGCUACACAGCGAUGUGAUGCAAAUCUCGAAAGCCGGUCUCAGUUCGGAUCGGAGUCUGCAACUCGACUCUAUGAAGCUGGAAUCGCUAGUAAUCGCGCAUCAGCCAUGGCGCGGUGAAUACGUUCCCGGGCCU
Molecule: ribosomal RNA, 1345 nt
Filed under: uncultured bacterium
Lineage: Bacteria
Description: bacterial SSU rRNA
Rfam family: Bacterial small subunit ribosomal RNA
Source: RNAcentral